GAUCAUGGCUCAGAACGAACGCUGGCGGCAGGCCUAAUACAUGCAAGUCGAACGCCCUAGUAAUAGGGAGUGGCAGACGGGUGAGUAACACGUGGGAACCUUCCCUAUAGUACGGAAUAGCCCAGGGAAACUUGGAGUAAUACCGUAUAAGCCCGAGAGGGGAAAGAUUUAUCGCUAUAGGAUGGGCCCGCGUAGGAUUAGCUAGUUGGUGAGGUAACGGCUCACCAAGGCAACGAUCCUUAGCUGGUUUGAGAGAAUGACCAGCCACACUGGGACUGAGACACGGCCCAGACUCCUACGGGAGGCAGCAGUGGGGAAUCUUGGACAAUGGGCGCAAGCCUGAUCCAGCCAUGCCGCGUGAGUGAUGAAGGCCUUAGGGUUGUAAAGCUCUUUUGCCGGGGACGAUAAUGACGGUACCCGGAGAAUAAGUCCCGGCUAACUUCGUG
Molecule: ribosomal RNA, 446 nt
Filed under: uncultured bacterium
Lineage: Bacteria
Description: bacterial SSU rRNA
Rfam family: Bacterial small subunit ribosomal RNA
Source: RNAcentral